Molecule: long non-coding RNA, 4583 nt
Organism: Canis lupus familiaris (dog)
Lineage: Eukaryota; Metazoa; Chordata; Mammalia; Carnivora; Canidae
Exons: 3
Source: RefSeq, a predicted model, not a curated record
ACCUACAGUGAUGACACGGGGCUCCAUUGUGGGCGGAACUGUGGUGCCCCAGGGUUCCAAUGCCUGGCGCUACUCUGUGUCCGCAGGCUCUUGGAGGCACCCGUGCUCCGGAUCUGGCUCAGUGCCCGACCAGCCCACUCUCACCAGUACCUCAGUGUAUAAAGUGUAGGCACUCACAAGGUGACAGUUCACAGGUGACUGGGAGCUGCUCCUGGCCCCCCCUCUGGCCACUGUAGGUCCUGUGGGUCUUGCUGCAGGUGUUGGCCUCCUGGGCUGGGGUGAGAACACACCGACCCCCAUGUCAUGCCCAUGAGGCAGGUCCUGGAGCCCUUCCACAACUCCGCAGGGUGAGGGCUGCCUCCCUGCUGCCCCAGGCCAGGGAAGGAGCCUGUGUUCAGGGCUCGGGCGGCUCAUCCUGGACCCCCGCUCCCCUCAAGCCCUGUUCUGUGCAGGAGGCAACAGGUCAAGCCAUGACCUUUCCAGUCCGUCUUAGGUGCAUGGACCCCAACAUGUGAUGACCAAUCCCCCCACGCUGUGGUCCGGGGUGUAUGGUCAGGGCUCUCUUGGUCCUUCUGGCUCAUGAGCAGGCUUGAUCUUCACAAACUGGAACAUGGAGUCCCUCGUGCUCCCGCAUAACCCUCCUCAAGCUAUUCACAAAUCAUUGCAUUCAAGGUGGGUAGUUUGGUCACACAUUUGCUGGCAUAAGUUUUUAAUUUUGAUGAAGUCCAGUUCAUUGCUUUUUCCCUUUGGUCUUUCUGCUUGUGGAAUCUAAGAGAAACCUUCGGUCUGCCCCAAGUCCGCAGGAACACUCUCUGGCAGGCACAUCCACCGCCAUCUCGGGGCCAGCCCUGGGCUGGGAAACAUCACCCCAAGGAUCAGUCAGACAGAUGGGGACCUGCCCACAGGGAGCACACAGACGCAUGUGUCCUCUGAAGGUUUUCAUGCGGUGUCAUCCUUGGAUGUGUGUGGUUUGCAGCACCAGGCAGGAGGACCUGGAGACCCUGCUGGCCUUGGAAAGGGCUGAUAUCAGAGCCGAAUACCAUCAGAUCAGCUGAAGCCCAGACAAAUACCAUAGACACUAGAGCACCCACUAGAUGUGGGGACCACAUCUGCAAGAACAGGCACGCCGGGUAUGGUCUCCAUAGGACCCUUGGGAUGAUGCUGUCCCGUCACUGUGGAAGGUCACGGACAAUCAGAGUUUUCUGCAUUGAGUUCCCUGGACACCCCUUCAUCCAUCUCAGGAGGCGUUGCAAAACGCCUCUCUUGAGGCUGGCACAUCCCCCCAGAUCAGGACCUCUUCCCCUUGGGCCCUCUGAGGGCCAUGUCUGCCCUAGGCUAGAGCUGAGAGACCCAAGAGAAAAACCCUGGAAGUGGGUAGGAAGGGAUCUGGGCCUGGGGUACGGCCCCUGGGCACCCAGAGGAGGGGCCUCCAUGCCUGCUUUGUGGAGGACAAGGUGUCUGACACCUGCAUCGGGGUGGGUGGUCAGGGCGUGGGGGAGGAGGCCCUUGCCAGGAUGGCCCCCCUGCCUGCCUGUUGCAGGAGGAGACCCUGAUCUUUGGGGAUCUGGGGCCUUCUCAGGCUUCUUGAUUCCAGGGUUCACCAAAUUGCUUAGGUCCUAGGCGAGCACGUUCUAGACAGAGCUCACCCCAAGCUGAAGAAGCACAUGGCGAGUAGAUGCUCCCCAGGGGCUCCGACCCCUUGGCCCCAGGGCAGGGGUUGCCAGCACAGCCUUUCUGAACUGCCCCAAUUUGGUGUCAAGUUCCUCCUCCUGGGGAGCCUGGGGCACCAUUGAGGCUGUGCGGGGCUAUUGGAACUGUGUCCACCUGGCUCACGGGGCCGCAGCGUGGGGCCUGAGCACCUCCUGCCCUUCUGCCAGGGCGAGGAACUGACGUGCACUGGCAUUUACAUCCUAAGUGGUUCCUUCAGUGUUUCAUCUGUUAGGUAAGAGAACCCGAGGAACCCUGCUGCCUCAUUCUGUCCCCUGACUCCAGGGAAGGCCGAGUUCAACCCUACUCUCCAGACAAUCCAGUCCAGACCUUGGGCCCGAAGGCUGAGGCUGGCAGCCCAGAGCCACCUAGAGAAGCCCAGAGUGUCCCUGGAGGAGUUUUGAGGGAACGGGCUGUCUCUGCCUCAGCUCCCCCAGGGAGGCCUGGUCAGCCUGGGGUGUGGAUGAGCCCUCGGCCCAUUCUGCAGUUAGCCUGGGGUCCUCUUGUGGCCUAUUGGCAGAAAUGGGGGCAGAGUCUGUGCCCCCAUGUCUGUGGGUAGUGCUGGCCAGGAUUAGAACCCAGAGUGACCUGGUGCCCUGAUCUCCCUGGGAGGAGUGCAUGCACAGGAGGGGCUGUGGUGUCUCCUCGGAUGUAGCCCGGCAGGGUGGCAGAGGCUAUGGGCAGAUGGGAGACCCCAAGGGGCUCUGCUCAGGCCGCUCCUCUCAACCCCCGCUCCCCAAAACCCCUUAUCCCUACCCUGAAGCACUGGGACGCGUAUAUCCUGGACAUGGAGCCUGUGCUCACAGCCAUGGCUUACAUGAUCCUCAAAGUGCACAGGAGUAAGUGGGCCCCUGGGUGCCCAGGUGUGCCCGAGGCUGGGGGUGAGGGGACAGGGGUGUUGACCCCCUGCUCUGAGCAGCACCCAGGCCUGGGGACGGGGGGACGGCUGAGCAGGCGAGUAGAUCAGGACUCCCUGAAUGAGCAGCAGGCAGGGCCCUCCCUCGGUCAUAGCACUGCCCACGGUGAUCCUGCACAGCUGGAUCCUCAGCUGCUACCCUUGGGAGGCACCUGGAGGCCACAGAGCAGGGAGCCUCUGGGUCUCACUCACACCCACUGCCCAGAGAGCCUCCUGAAGCUGCCCCUGGAAGGUCCUCAGGAGUUUCUGCAGGACGUGAUGGUCCAGCCCUGGGCCCUGGAGGAUGAGGUGGUGCUCAGACAACUUUGGGCCUCCACGACCCAGCUCCGAAAGAUGAAGUGUGACCUGCCCCCACCCAGGUGUACCUAGGUCCCCAUCCCCUCCCGAUUCUGCUUGCUGGGGCUGCUCACGUGGAUAGGGCCCCUGGGUUUUCCUCCUCAUCUCUGGCCCAGACCUUCGGUCUGCCCCAAGCCCGCAGGAACACUCUCUGGCAGACACAUCCCCGCCAUCUCGGGGCCAGCCCUGGGCUGGGAAAUGUCACUCCAAGCAUCAGGUCAGCAGUUCCCUGCAGCCUCUUUCCAACAGGAACUGGAGAGUUACCUCAGGAGGCCCCUGGGCCUGGAGUGAGUGUCCCGGCAAUUGAGCCUCUCCUCCCUUCUAUUACCAAGACGCUGCCCAGAGUGGACGAGCAGGCUUCCCCAGGCCCAGCCACACAACCUGAGCAGUCUGGACCCCCUCCUGGCAGGGCCAUCCUCAAGGCCAAGGAGCUGCUGCAGGAGGGAAGCUCCCCAGAGCCCACAGCUGUACACCUGUGUCUGGGGCUCUGCUUCUGUCUCAGCUGCCCCCAGCCCAGGACACCUCACUGGCCCGGAGGCCCCGUAGCGAUAAUACCCCCCUCCUCAUGCUCCCAGAGAACCAGUACAGUGCAGGCAGGUGGCACCCAAACAAGGACCUGAAGCCAGAACACUGGGUCCCAUUCAUUUUGGCACCUGCCUGGGCCACACCACAGGCCACACAGCAAACCAGACAAUAGAAUCCCCCUUGGACGCCCCUCACAGGGUCCACCCAGCCCACUAAGAUGACACUAUAGGGAUCCAGAUACCCUUCCUGUCCUGUGGCCACAGCAGCUCAAGUCCCUCACUGGGCAGUGAUAGGCAGGGCCAGCCCAUGCCAGGACAGCGCUGAACCACCUGACCUCUGCCUCCAUGCUCCUGGGCCUCUGGAGGAGCGAAAUGGUGAGGAUGGGGGUCCUGAGGCCAUGGCCAGCUGACACCAUGCCCUGCCUCAUCUCAUUGUCCUUCCUGGAGGGCGCCCCCUCAAUAGGAAGAGUCCCCGACCCAGAGGGACCUGAGCUGGCCUCUCCCUAGGCUCUGGGAGAGAGGGUCGACAUGAGCCCCAAAAGGGACAGAAUGAAGACUGAUGAGAUUGAGACCCCUGUGGCCCUGACCAGUUCUGGAUUCUGCCCCAAGUCUCAGUGACCCACUCAGAGCAGGAUGUGGGACCUGUUGUGCCCCACAAAUCCAGGUCGCUGACCUAGGACAGCAUUGGGAAUAACAGGGCACCCAGGGCAGGGGCAGGAGGGGCAGGCUGCUGGGCCAUACCCUCAUCCACAGUAGGAGGCAGACUCACCCACAUGCUGGGUCUCCAGCAGUCAGUCCCCUGGCACGUGAGCCAGAAACUAGGGUCCAGAUGACCUGCUGGGAUCCAGCGCAAGAACCCUGAAGUUGCAGGUCCAGGUCUGGUCCGCUGUCCUCAGAACUGCCUCUCAGGCCCCAACCUCAGGACACGUGCCCCCAUUCGGGGUCAGCACAGCUUUCAAGCUGGGGGACUCUGGCACCAACACCCCCAUGUGACUUUGGCUUUCUCCUAAAAGAAAGGAAGGUCCCCCUCGAGGGGAAGGCGUGCACCCUCGGCCCUGAGCUCCUGUUUGCUGUUGAAAGUUCAAUAAAGUGUGGUUGUG